Molecule: long non-coding RNA, 516 nt
Organism: Brassica napus (rape)
Lineage: Eukaryota; Viridiplantae; Streptophyta; Magnoliopsida; Brassicales; Brassicaceae
Exons: 2
Source: RefSeq, a predicted model, not a curated record
GUAACUGCAUCAACAAAAACAGAAUCUCUAAAAACAGAGUAACAAAGCAUCAAUCAUCUCGAUCUCAAAUUUCCCAACUUUCGAUCGACCCAACAUUAAAAAAGCUACGCAAACGUCGAAUAUCGAAAAACCCACAAAGAAAAAUCAAAUAUUUCGUUAGAAACACCAAAGGAGAGAACACUCACAUGGCAGCGAAGCAAGCCAACCAUUUGACGAAAGAAACACCAAAGGCUGCUCCACCAAGCUUGGUCACAUCGCUUAAGAGUUUCUUGGCAGCGAUCUUAAGCUCCUCCACGUCGGAAUUGACCAGAGCAACCGUGUCGACGUCGGUCUUCAUCGCUAGGUAAUCCACACGCCCCAUUACUUUCUUCUUUCCUCAGCUGAAUAAUCGAUCUUCGUAUUUAUGCGAAAGACAAUAAUUUCGAGGUUUUUAAAUUUUAUUCUUCGAUAAAUUAUUCCUCCAGCCUAUCUAUCACUAUCAGAUCGUCUUCUCUGCUUUUCAACUUGCUUUUUCUU